GUACUGUCUAUCUCAUUAGGCUGAUAUGAGAAUUAAAUGAAAAAACGUAAUUGCUAACAUAGUUUCUGGCCCACUCUUUAAGGUCAAAUUGUUAACAUUAAGCAUUAAAUAUCUGCUAAAUGCCUUCUGAUAAGGACAAUGCAGUAAACUAUGAUCAUUACAGUGAAAACAUAACUCAUUGCCAUUAGUGAAGC
Long non-coding RNA from Sapajus apella (tufted capuchin), 194 nucleotides. RefSeq lists it as uncharacterized. The record is from RefSeq and is a predicted model, not a curated record. Lineage: Eukaryota; Metazoa; Chordata; Mammalia; Primates; Cebidae. The transcript has 2 exons.